CCUACGGGGGGCAGCAGUGGGGAAUAUUGGACAAUGGGGGGAACCCUGAUCCAGCCAUGCCGCGUGUGUGAAGAAGGCCCUCGGGUUGUAAAGCACUUUCAGUGAGGAAGAACGCCUGGUGGUUAAUACCCAUCAGGAAAGACAUCACUCACAGAAGAAGCACCGGCUAACUCCGUGCCAGCAGCCGCGGUAAUACGGAGGGUGCGAGCGUUAAUCGGAAUUACUGGGCGUAAAGCGCGCGUAGGUGGCUUGAUAAGCCGGUUGUGAAAGCCCCGGGCUCAACCUGGGAACGGCAUCCGGAACUGUCAAGCUAGAGUGCAGGAGAGGAAGGUAGAAUUCCCGGUGUAGCGGUGAAAUGCGUAGAGAUCGGGAGGAAUACCAGUGGCGAAGGCGGCCUUCUGGACUGACACUGACACUGAGGUGCGAAAGCGUGGGUACCAAACAGGAUUAGAUACCCUUGUAGUC
Molecule: ribosomal RNA, 465 nt
Filed under: Vreelandella stevensii
Lineage: Bacteria; Pseudomonadati; Pseudomonadota; Gammaproteobacteria; Oceanospirillales; Halomonadaceae
Description: partial 16S ribosomal RNA
Rfam family: Bacterial small subunit ribosomal RNA
Source: RNAcentral